UGGGGGAUAUUGCACAAUGGGCGAAAGCCUGAUGCAGCGACGCCGCGUGGGGGAUGAAGGCCUUCGGGUUGUAAACUUUUUUUGCUCUGAACAAGGCGCACCAUGGGGUGUGUUGAGUGUAGGGGUUGAUUAGCGCCGGCUAACUACGUGCCAGCAGCCGCGGUAAUACGUAGGGCGCGAGCGUUGUCCGGAAUUAUUGGGCGGAAAGGGCUUGUAGGUGGCUGGUUGCGUCUGCCGUGAAAUCUCAUGGCUUAACUGUGGGUUUGCGGUGGGUACUGGCUGGCUUGAGUGCAGUAGGGGAGGCUGGAAUUCCUGGUGUAGCGGUGGAAUGCGCAGAUAUCAGGAGGACUACCGGUGGCGAAGGCGGGUCUCUGGGCUGUUACUGACACUGAGGAGCGAAAGCAUGGGGAGCGAACAGG
This 419-nucleotide ribosomal RNA is filed under the name bacterium. Its description in RNAcentral is "partial 16S ribosomal RNA". It matches the Rfam family "Bacterial small subunit ribosomal RNA", at positions 355 to 776 of the family's 1533-position model. The record is from RNAcentral.